This 626-nucleotide long non-coding RNA is filed under the name Rattus norvegicus (Norway rat). RNAcentral's name for it is "long non-coding RNA NONRATT016859". The record is from RNAcentral. Lineage: Eukaryota; Metazoa; Chordata; Mammalia; Rodentia; Muridae.
UAUAAUCCAGCACCUGAGUCAAGGGCAGCCUGAGUGACAAAAGUCCAGGCCUCAAAACAAAUGCAAUGCCCUAGGUCAGUGGUUCUCAGCCUGUGGCUGACAGCUGCCCUUCCACCAGGGUCACAUAUCAAAUGCCUUGCAUAGCAGAUUUUUAUAUUGAUUCAUAACAAGCAAAAUUAUGGUUACGAAUCAGCAACAAAAACAAUUUUAUGGUGGGGUCACCGUAACAUGAGGAACUGUAUUAAAGGAUUGCAGCCUAGGAAGGGUGAGAGAAAGGAAGUCAGCAGAAGUGUUGAGCUUCUAGAAACCACAUGGGUUCUGGCUUGCUCUUCCCUGAAGGCUGUUUCGCCUUCUGAGCCUGAAUUAAUAUGAAUUAAUAUGGGUUUCCUGCCUGAAAACAAAAUGCUGAACUUGUCACUUUCCUUGUAUGUGGCUCAGACUCUGUCUCCUAUACAGAGAGUCAUGUGUAGCUGUCCUUAGACUUAAGGUGCUUUUUCAUUACUUCAUAAACAAUGUGGUGGGACACUUUGAAUUUCAAGUUGCCGUUUCUGUCACAAGGCUUCCUGGAGACUCACGAACAAGAAUAGGAUUCAUGACUUUCGACAGCACUAUUCAUUUCUACAAUU